RNAcentral lists this ribosomal RNA (301 nucleotides) under uncultured bacterium. Its description in RNAcentral is "partial 16S ribosomal RNA". It matches the Rfam family "Bacterial small subunit ribosomal RNA", at positions 509 to 809 of the family's 1533-position model. The record is from RNAcentral.
CAGUAGCCGCGGGAAUACGGAGGGUGCGAACGUUAAUCGGAAUAACUGGGCGUAAAGCGCGCGCAGGCGGAUAGGUCAGUCUGUCUUAAAAGUUCGGGGCUUAACCCCGUGAUGGGAUGGAAACUGCCAAUCUAGAGUAUCGGAGAGGAAAGUGGAAUUCCUAGUGUAGCGGUGAAAUGCGUAGAUAUUAGGAAGAACACCAGUGGCGAAGGCGGCUUUCUGGACUGCAACUGACGCUGAGGCUCGAAAGCCAGGGGAGCGAACGGGAUUAGAUACCCCCGUAGUCCCUGUCUCUUAUACA